GCCGGGUGCGGUGGCUCGCGCCUGUAAUCCAAGCGUCUGGGAGGCUGAGGCUGGUGGAUCGUUUGAGCUCAGGGGUUCUGGGCUGCAGCGGACUAUGCCGAUCGGGUGUCCGCACUAAGUUCGGUAUCGAUAUGGUGCUCCUGGGGGAGCCCAGGACCACCAGGUCGUCUAAGGAGGGGUGCACCGGCCCAGGCCGGAAACGGAGCAGGUCAAAGCCCCCGUGCCGAUCAGUAGUGGGAUAACGCCUGUGAAUAGACGUUGCAGUGCAGCCUGGGCGAUACAGCGGGACACAGCCUUUU
The sequence is an unclassified non-coding RNA, 299 nucleotides long. It matches the Rfam family "Metazoan signal recognition particle RNA". From Rfam's summary of the family: The signal recognition particle (SRP) is a universally conserved ribonucleoprotein. The record is from Ensembl.